GCCUUGUUUUUAAAAAACAUGUCUUAAUGAAAAUUUAAUAUUAAGUCUGUCCUGCUCAAUGAUUAAAAUAAUUAAAUAGCCGCAGUAUUUUGACUGUGCGAAGGUAGCAUAAUCAUUUGUCUUUUAAUUGAAGGCUUGUAUGAAUGGUUUGAUGAGGGAAUAACUUUCUUUAUAUUAAAUAUUGAAUUUAAUUUUUUAGUUAAAAGGCUAAAAUUAUUAAAUGGGACGAGAAGACCCUAUAGAAUUUUAUUUUUAUUAUAAUAAUUUAAAUUAUUGGUUAUUAAAUAUUUAUUUAUUAUACUAAGAAUUUUGUUGGGGUGACAUUGAGAUUUUUUUAACUCUCAUAUUAUUAUUCUUAUUAAUAUGUAUAUAUAGGAUCCUAUUUUAUGGAUAUAUAGAUUAAAUUACCUUAGGGAUAACAGCGUAAUUUUUCUGGAGAGUUCUUAUUGAUGGAAAAGUUUGCGACCUCGAUGUUGGAUUAAAAUUAGAUUUAAGUGCAGAAGCUUAAAUUUCUAGGUCUGUUCGACCUUUAAAUUUUUACAUGAUCUAGUUCCAAACCGGAA
This 563-nucleotide ribosomal RNA is filed under the name Lelia decempunctata. Its description in RNAcentral is "partial large subunit ribosomal RNA". It matches the Rfam family "Bacterial large subunit ribosomal RNA", at positions 1798 to 2621 of the family's 2925-position model. Lineage: Eukaryota; Metazoa; Arthropoda; Insecta; Hemiptera; Pentatomidae. The record is from RNAcentral.